UACGUAGGGUGCAAGCGUUGUCCGGAAUUAUUGGGCGUAAAGAGCUCGUAGGCGGUCUGUCGCGUCGGAUGUGAAAAUCCAGGGCUUAACCCUGGACCUGCAUUCGAUACGGGGCAGACUAGAGUUCGGUAGGGGAGACUGGAAUUCCUGGUGUAGCGGUGAAAUGCGCAGAUAUCAGGAGGAACACCGGUGGCGAAGGCGGGUCUCUGGGCCGAUACUGACGUGAGGAGCGAAAGCGUGGGGAGCGAACAGG
RNAcentral lists this ribosomal RNA (253 nucleotides) under uncultured bacterium. RNAcentral describes it as "partial 16S ribosomal RNA". It matches the Rfam family "Bacterial small subunit ribosomal RNA", at positions 524 to 776 of the family's 1533-position model. The record is from RNAcentral.